This 917-nucleotide ribosomal RNA is filed under the name Candidatus Palibaumannia cicadellinicola. RNAcentral describes it as "bacterial LSU rRNA". It matches the Rfam family "Bacterial large subunit ribosomal RNA", at positions 737 to 1652 of the family's 2925-position model. The record is from RNAcentral. Lineage: Bacteria; Pseudomonadati; Pseudomonadota; Gammaproteobacteria.
UGGGCAGAUUGAAGGUUAGGUAACACUAACUGGAGGAUCGAACUGACUAAUGUUGCAAAAUUAGCGGAUGACUUGUGGCUAGGAGUGAAAGACUAAUCAAACCGGGAGAUAGCUGGUUCUCCCCGAGAGCUAUUUAGGUAGCGCCUUAUGAAUUCAUCUUUGGGGGUAGAGCACUGUUUUGGCUAAGGGUCCAUCUUGGAUUACUAAACCAAUGCAAACUACGAAUACUAGAGAAUGUUAUCAUGGGAGACACACGAUGGGUGCUAACGUCCAUCGUGAAAAGGGAAACAACCCAGACCGCCAGCUAAGGUCCCAAAAUCAUAAUUAAGUAAAACGAUGUGGGAAGUCAUAAACAACCAGGAUGUUGGCUUAGAAGCAGCCAUCAUUUAAAGAAAGCGUAAUAGCUCACUGGUCGAGUCAUCCUGCGCGGAAAAUGUAACGCAGCUAAAUUAUGUACCGAAGCUGCGGCAACAAUAUUUCAUAUAUUGUUGGGUAGGGGAGCGUUCUGUAAGCCAAUGAAGGUAUAUUGUAAAGUAUACUGGAGGUAUCAGAAGUGCGAAUGCUGACAUAAGUAACGAAAAAGCGGGCAAAAAAACCCGCUCGCCGAAAAACUAAGGUUUCCUGUUCAACGGUAAUCGAAGCAGGGUAAGUCGGCUCCUAAGGCGAGGUCGAAAGGCGUAGUCGAUGGGUAACAGGUUAAUAUUCCUGUACUAGAUGUAACUGCGAAGGGGGUACGAAGAAAGCUAAGUUCGCCAGGUGACGGUUAUCCUGGUUUAAGCAUGUAGGUGAAAAAGCAGGUAAAUCCACUUUUUAAAACACUAAGAUGUGAUGACAAACCAAUAAUAUUGGUAAAGGAAUUGAUGCUCUGCUUCCAAGAAAAGCCUCUAAGCUUCAGGUUACAUGUAAUCGUUACUUAA